Molecule: ribosomal RNA, 943 nt
Filed under: Bacillus cereus
Lineage: Bacteria; Bacillati; Bacillota; Bacilli; Caryophanales; Bacillaceae
Description: bacterial SSU rRNA
Rfam family: Bacterial small subunit ribosomal RNA
Source: RNAcentral
GCACUUGUCGUAAACAUUCGUUGCUCUUAUGAGUUAGCGGCAGAGGGUGAGUAACACGUGCAGUAACCUGCCCAUAAACUGAGAUAACUCCGGGAAACCGGGGCUAAUACCGGAAACAUUUUGAACUGCAGGUUCGAAAUUGAAAGGCGGCUUCGGCUGUCACUUAUGGAUGGACCCGCGUCGCAUUAGCUAGUUGGUGAGGUAACGGCUCACCAAGGCAACGAUGCGUAGCCGACCUGAGAGGGUGAUCGGCCACACUGGGACUGAGACACGGCCCAGACUCCUACGGGAGGCAGCAGUAGGGAAUCUUCCGCAAUGGACGAAAGUCUGACGGAGCAACGCCGCGUGAGUGAUGAAGGCUUUCGGGUCGUAAAACUCUGUUGUUAGGGAAGAACAAGUGCUAGUUGAAUAAGCUGGCACCUUGACGGUACCUAACCAGAAAGCCACGGCUAACUACGUGCCAGCAGCCGCGGUAAUACGUAGGUGGCAAGCGUUAUCCGGAAUUAUUGGGCGUAAAGCGCGCGCAGGUGGUUUCUUAAGUCUGAUGUGAAAGCCCACGGCUCAACCGUGGAGGGUCAUUGGAAACUGGGAGACUUGAGUGCAGAAGAGGAAAGUGGAAUUCCAUGUGUAGCGGUGAAAUGCGUAGAGAUAUGGAGGAACACCAGUGGCGAAGGCGACUUUCUGGUCUGUAACUGACACUGAGGCGCGAAAGCGUGGGGGAGCAAACAGGAUUAGAUACCCUGGUAGUCCACGCCGUAACGAUGAGUGCUAAGUGUUAGAGGGUUUCCGCCCUUUAGUGCUGAAGUUAACGCAGUAAGCACUCCGCCUGGGGAGUACGGGCCGCAGGCUGAAACUCAAAGGAAUUGACGGGGGCCCGCACAAGCCGGUGGAGCAAGUGGUUUAAUUUCGAAGGCACGCGAGAACCUACCAGGUCUUGACAUCC